RNAcentral lists this ribosomal RNA (225 nucleotides) under uncultured bacterium. RNAcentral's name for it is "partial 16S ribosomal RNA". It matches the Rfam family "Bacterial small subunit ribosomal RNA", at positions 32 to 266 of the family's 1533-position model. The record is from RNAcentral.
AAUCAACGCUGGCGGCGUGCCUAACACAUGCAAGUCGCACGAGAAAGGGGAGCAAUCCCUGAGUAAAGUGGCGCACGGGUGAGUAACACGUGAAUCAUCUACCUCCGAGUGGGGAAGUAACUGAGAGAAAUCUUAGCUAAUACCGCAUAACACUUACGAGUCAAAGCAGCAAUGCGCUUGGAGAGGAGUUCGCGGCCGAUUAGUUAGUUGGCGGGGUAANGGCCC